GCUUUGAAGUGUGGACGCCAGUCUGCAUGGAGCCGACCUUGAAAUACCACCCUUUAAUGUUUGAUGUUCUAACGUGGACCCGUGAUCCGGGUUGCGGACAGUGUCUGGUGGGUAGUUUGACUGGGGCGGUCUCCUCCUAAAGAGUAACGGAGGAGCACGAAGGUUGGCUAAUCCUGGUCGGACAUCAGGAGGUUAGUGCAAUGGCAUAAGCCAGCUUGACUGCGAGCGUGACGGCGCGAGCAGGUGCGAAAGCAGGUCAUAGUGAUCCGGUGGUUCUGAAUGGAAGGGCCAUCGCUCAACGGAUAAAAGGUACUCCGGGGAUAACAGGCUGAUACCGCCCAAGAGUUCAUAUCGACGGCGGUGUUUGGCACCUCGAUGUCGGCUCAUCACAUCCUGGGGCUGAAGUAGGUCCCAAGGGUAUGGCUGUUCGCCAUUUAAAGUGGUACGCGAGCUGGGUUUAGAACGUCGUGAGACAGUUCGGUCCCUAUCUGCCGUGGGCGCUGGAGAACUGAGGGGGGCUGCUCCUAGUACGAGAGGACCGGAGUGGACGCAUCACUGGUGUUCGGG
This 567-nucleotide ribosomal RNA is filed under the name Salmonella enterica. RNAcentral's name for it is "partial 23S ribosomal RNA". It matches the Rfam family "Bacterial large subunit ribosomal RNA", at positions 2154 to 2720 of the family's 2925-position model. Lineage: Bacteria; Pseudomonadati; Pseudomonadota; Gammaproteobacteria; Enterobacterales; Enterobacteriaceae. The record is from RNAcentral.